RNAcentral lists this ribosomal RNA (455 nucleotides) under uncultured bacterium. RNAcentral describes it as "bacterial SSU rRNA". It matches the Rfam family "Bacterial small subunit ribosomal RNA", at positions 340 to 786 of the family's 1533-position model. The record is from RNAcentral.
UACGGGAGGCAGCAGUGGGGAAUAUUGCACAAUGGGCGCAAGCCUGAUGCAGCCAUGCCGCGUGUAUGAAGAAGGCCUUCGGGUUGUAAAGUACUUUCAGUCGUGAGGAAGGUGUUAAGGUUAAUAACCUUAGCAAUUGACGUUAGCGACAGAAGAAGCACCGGCUAACUCCGUGCCAGCAGCCGCGGUAAUACGGAGGGUGCGAGCGUUAAUCGGAAUUACUGGGCGUAAAGGGCACGCAGGCGGUUAAUUAAGUUGGAUGUGAAAUCCCCGGGCUUAACCUGGGAAUGGCAUUCAAGCUGGUUAGCUAGAGUCUUGUAGAGGGGGUAGAAUUCCAUGUGUAGCGGUGAAAUGCGUAGAGAUGUGGAGGAAUACCGGUGGGCGAAGGCGGCCCCUGGGACAAAGACUGACGCUCAUGUGCGAAAGCGUGGGGAGCAAACGAGGGAUUAGAUACC